Molecule: ribosomal RNA, 498 nt
Filed under: Austrodecus glaciale
Lineage: Eukaryota; Metazoa; Arthropoda; Pycnogonida; Pantopoda; Austrodecidae
Description: partial 16S ribosomal RNA
Rfam family: Bacterial large subunit ribosomal RNA
Source: RNAcentral
GGCUUUUUGAACUUUAUUUAAGGUCUUACCUGCUCAAUGAAUUAUUUUUAAAUAGCCGCGGUAUUUUGACUGUGCUAAGGUAGCAUAAUAAUUUGUCUUUUAAUUUAGGACUGGAAUGAAGGGUUUGACGUGGAGAAACUGUUUCUUUUAUUAUUUUUGAAUUUAAUUUUAAAGUUAAAAUGCUUUAAUUUUGUUAAGGGACGAGAAGACCCUAUCAAUUUUAAUUGAUUUGUUAAUGGUUUAAGCUGUUACACCUCAAUUUUACUGGGGCGGUAAAAUAAUUUAACUUAUUUAUAUUUAAUUGUAAUGAUUUUUUGUUUAUAUGAGAUCCAAUAAAUUAUAUUGAUUAUUAGAAUAAAUUACUGUAGGGAUAACAGCGUUAUUUCUUUUUAGAGUUCUUAUCGAUAAAGAAGAUUACGACCUCGAUGUUGGAUUAAAAUUUAGUUUUAUAAUGAAGGUAUUUGAAUUUAAGGUCUGUUCGACCUGUAAAAUUUUACA